This 336-nucleotide unclassified non-coding RNA is filed under the name soil metagenome. RNAcentral's name for it is "partial contains 5.8S ribosomal RNA, internal transcribed spacer 2, and large subunit ribosomal RNA". The stretch from base 1 to 120 matches the Rfam family "5.8S ribosomal RNA", at positions 35 to 154 of the family's 154-position model. The record is from RNAcentral.
GAUGAAGAACGCAGUGAAAUGCGAUAAGUAAUGUGAAUUGCAGAAUUCCGUGAAUCAUCGAAUCUUUGAACGCACAUUGCGCCCCCUGGUAUUCCGGGGGGCAUGCCUGUCCGAGCGUCAUUGCAACCCUCAAGCGCGGCUUGUGUGUUGGGCUUCGUCCCCCCGUGGACGUGCCCGAAAGGCAGUGGCGGCGUCCCGAAUGGUGCCCGAGCGUAUGGGAACUCUCUUCCGCUCGAACCGGCCCAUUCGGCGCUGGUCGAACCCCAAUUUUUUACCGGUUGACCUCGGAUCAGGUAGGGAUACCCGCUGAACUUAAGCAUAUCAAUAAGCGGAGGA